AUUGAACGCUGGCGGCAGGCCUAACACAUGCAAGUCGAGCGCGCGGCGGACGGGUGAGUAAUGUCUGGGAAACUGCCUGAUGGAGGGGGAUAACUACUGGAAACGGUAGCUAAUACCGCAUACCAUCAGAUGUGCCCAGAUGGGAUUAGCUAGUAGGUGGGGUAACGGCUCCCCUAGGCGACUAUACCUAGAUGGGCUGAGAGGAUGACCAGACACACUGGAACUGAGCGACGGUCCAGACCCCGACGAGAGGAAGCAGUGGGGCAUAUUGUCCAAUGGGCGCAAGCCUGAUGCAGCCAGGCGGCGUGUGUGAAGAAGGCCUUCGGUUUGUAAAGCACUUUCAGCGGAGAGGCGUUACCUGCAGAAGAAGAACCGGCUAACUCCGUGCCAGCCGCCGCGGUAAUAC
RNAcentral lists this ribosomal RNA (406 nucleotides) under uncultured bacterium. Its description in RNAcentral is "partial 16S ribosomal RNA". It matches the Rfam family "Bacterial small subunit ribosomal RNA", at positions 30 to 526 of the family's 1533-position model. The record is from RNAcentral.